AGAAAGAUGACUGAUGACUAGGAGAGUAUAAUGGAAGCAGAUAAAAUGAUGAGAGUUUGGAAUAUGAUAUUAACAAUGGAAAGAGAAGCAGACAGGUGUGAAGGGUGCUGUUGUGGAUUUGUGUUGUACCUAUUAGCUACCUUGGAUUUACCUCAGGAUCUUCUUCCCUAAAUAUUUUCAGACCAAUCCUGGAUACAGGACACAUUGUACAAAAAAUUUGGAAGCAUAUGUGAAGUGACAGCUUGGAAAAUCAGUGCAAUAGGUGCAGAGGCAUCAAUUGUUAAUAACAUGCCCUCUGUUGCUGAUUUGCUAACUCACUCCUUGGAAUGAAUUCACAGCUGAGCAUAUGAAUUCACAGCUGAGCAUACAGUUUCUCCAGUUUCUGACAGCUCUUCUCCUUCAGCUUCUCUGGAUGUUGGGGACAGGCACAGCAGUAGGCACAAAAGCAGUAGGCAUACAUAAGGGCAAAUUCCUAUAAUA
RNAcentral lists this long non-coding RNA (480 nucleotides) under Marmota monax (woodchuck). Lineage: Eukaryota; Metazoa; Chordata; Mammalia; Rodentia; Sciuridae. The record is from RNAcentral.